Non-coding RNA from Acanthosepion pharaonis, 114 nucleotides. Lineage: Eukaryota; Metazoa; Mollusca; Cephalopoda; Sepiida; Sepiidae. The record is from the annotation of a GenBank genome assembly.
UUACGGCCAUAUUGCUUUGAAACACCGGUUCUUAUACGAUAAACGAAGUUAAGCAACGUUGAACCUCGUUAGUACCUAAGUGGGUGACUGUUUGGGAAUACCAGGUGCUGUAAG